CUGCUUUUCUUUCUUUGGGCUUCUCUACCUUUCUCCUACUGCUUUUUUGGCUUUACCACUACUUUUUAUUUACUCAGCUUCAACUUUUCCCUUCUCCUCUUAACUCUAACUCUCUCUCUUUCUACAUUACUCUCUCCUCCACCUCUCUUUUGCCCCUUCUCCCUCUCUCUCUCUCUCUCUCCAUUCUUUGCAGUAAUGCUCCCUCCUCCACCUCCAUCUCUUGAAGAGGAGAUUACUUAGAAAGAAAUAACUUCAAUGGCUACAAGGGUUAUUAGGGCUCAUCAUGGCCUCCUCCUCCUCUUCUCUCUCCUCCUAUCCCUUCAGUCUGCUUGCUCUUCAGGUCAGUACAUCACUCAUUCUCCUCUCCCUUCCUUUCCCUUUCUUUCUGUUGCAUUUUUUUUUUCUCUUAUUGAGCUACAAACAACAACAACAACAAAAGACAAGAAGAGACAAAGAAAGAGAGUUUCUCAUUUACUCCUCUUUGAUAGCUACUUUAAGAUUGGCAUAAACCACUUUCCCCUUCUGAUAUACCACAACUGUUUCAAAAUCUCAGUUUCAUUUUUCAUUUUCUUCUUUCUUUGGUGUUUCCAGGAGCCUUUGUGGGAUUUUCAUAUGAUGCAAGGGAAGAGAGGCCUCAAUCUUCUUCACCUUCACCCACAGAAGCACNCUCUU
RNAcentral lists this long non-coding RNA (672 nucleotides) under Ananas comosus (pineapple). RNAcentral describes it as "long non-coding RNA (ACOM_LNC021612)". The record is from RNAcentral. Lineage: Eukaryota; Viridiplantae; Streptophyta; Magnoliopsida; Poales; Bromeliaceae.